This 265-nucleotide long non-coding RNA is filed under the name Lathyrus oleraceus (garden pea). RNAcentral's name for it is "Pisum sativum (pea) long non-coding RNA (PSAT_LNC001864)". The record is from RNAcentral. Lineage: Eukaryota; Viridiplantae; Streptophyta; Magnoliopsida; Fabales; Fabaceae.
AAAAAAUCAGGAAAAAUCAUGAUUAAAUAAUAGAGAUCCAUAUGGACACAAUGCAAAAAUUCCCAUGAAAUUUGGAUUUAAAAUGAAUGUGAUAUGAUUUUUGCAAGAUGAUGUAACAAAAUGAAAUGAAUAUUGAAAACACACAUGACUUAAUGAGACCAAUGGCACGGGGAUGGCAAAUUUGUAAAUAUUGGGCCAACUUAAUGAAACGCGGCGUAUUGGCUCAUGGCUGGAAAUGUUUUGAUUGGCUGUUGGCUAAUGGAAC